GGUCAGGACGAACGCUGGCGGCGUGCCUAACACAUGCAAGUCGAACGAAGUAUGUUUUUCGGAAUGUACUUAGUGGCGGACGGGUGAGUAACGCGUGAAUAAUCUGCCCCAUACAGGGGGAUAGCCUCGGGAAACCGGGAUUAAAACCGCAUGAUGCUUUUUUAUCGCAUGGUAGAGAAGUCAAAUCGAAUAAGAGGUACAGGAUGAGUUCGCGUCUGAUUAGCUAGUUGGCGGGGUAAGAGCCCACAAAGGCGACGAUCAGUAGCCGGCCUGAGAGGGUGACCGGCCACACUGGAACUGAGACACGGUCCAGACUCCUACGGGAGGCAGCAAGUGGGGAAUAUUGCACAAUGGAGGGAACUCUGAUGCAGCGACGCCGCGUGAGUGAAGAAGGUCUUCGGAUCGUAAAACUCUGUCCUUGGUGACGAAAAAAUGACGGUA
RNAcentral lists this ribosomal RNA (441 nucleotides) under uncultured prokaryote. RNAcentral describes it as "bacterial SSU rRNA". It matches the Rfam family "Bacterial small subunit ribosomal RNA", at positions 22 to 477 of the family's 1533-position model. The record is from RNAcentral.